GUGGAUUGUAGAUUAAUUUAGUCUUGUAGUUUUAGUCUCUUCAAAAAAGUUCAUCGAUAUAUCAAUAUUUUUCGUCAUAGUUUUCGUUGAUGAAAUGAACACUGCUUUGAACCCAGAUUUCCCAGGAUUUCAGCAUUCUCCACGUAGGGGCCUCACCAAAGCUUGCAGAGAACUGGGUUUCUGUCUACAGCGAGGAGAUCCUUAAGCUUGCCAGCAAGGAAUGAAUGGAUUCUAACUUCUCCUCUAAUUUUGGUGGCGACGCUAUGUCUGCAGAUUACUGCGCCAGCAGAAAUCAGCUGCCCUGUCUCAGAGGGGCUUCCAGGAAUUUUUGUGGAAGGUACUGCCUACUUCUUCAAGAGUGGCUCUGUGAGUAACUUUAAUUUGCAGUAUUUUACAUUUUAAGAUGUUUAAUGCUCAGUGAUUCCAGUCAGAUCGUGCAAUUAAAUCAUGGUUGACUAGUAAAAUGGGAGCAGUACAUACAAAUGCCCUUUCUUCCUUGUCUCUCACACUGUUUGGAUAUUGAUGAUGAGAAUGCCUUCAAAGACCUGUUGGAGUCCUCUGCCCUCAGGAAGAUGUGGUCCAAAACCUGGCUGGAAGGCACUGUUCGUGGAUGAAGUGAAGAAGCCACCUCAGGUAAUGUGCCUCCCCCAAUUUAUAAGAUCCACUUUAUGAACUGAACUGCCUUUUAACUUUAUUCAACAGGUGAUGCUGAACCUGGGUAGAGGUGAGCUGACAUCCAAAAUUCAAAAUAAAAAAAAAUCAGCUUCCAAGUGUAGAGUUGGC
This is a long non-coding RNA of Siniperca chuatsi (mandarin fish), 783 nucleotides long. RefSeq lists it as uncharacterized. The transcript is spliced from 3 exons. The record is from RefSeq and is a predicted model, not a curated record. NCBI's taxonomy places the organism in Eukaryota, Metazoa, Chordata, Actinopteri, Centrarchiformes, Sinipercidae.